This 631-nucleotide ribosomal RNA is filed under the name uncultured bacterium. RNAcentral's name for it is "bacterial SSU rRNA". It matches the Rfam family "Bacterial small subunit ribosomal RNA", at positions 338 to 1426 of the family's 1533-position model. The record is from RNAcentral.
CCUACGGGAGGCAGCAGUAAGGAAUAUUGGUCAAUGGACGCAAGUCUGAACCAGCCAUGCCGCGUGAAGGAUGAAUGCCCUCUGGGUUGUAAACUUCUUUUAUAGGGGACGAAAAAGGGUCUUUUCAGAUCAACUGACGGUACCCUAGGAAUAAGCACCGGCUAACUCCGUGCCAGCAGCCGCGGUAAUACGGAGGGUGCAAGCGUUAUCCGGAUUUACUGGGUUUAAAGGGUGCGUAGGUGGGUUGGUAAGUCAGCGGUGAAAUCUUCGAGCUUAACUCGGAAACUGCCAUUGAUACUAUCAGCCUUGAAUAUCCUGGAGGUGAGCGGAAUAUGUCAUGUAGCGGUGAAAUGCUUAGAUAUGACAUAGAACACCAAUUGCGAAGGCAGCUCACUACGGGAUUAUUGACACUGAGGCACGAAAGCGUGGGGAUCAAACAGGAUUAGAUACCCUGGUAGUCCACGCCCUAAACGAUGGAUACUCGACAUUUGCGAUAUACAGUAAGUGUCUGAGCGAAAGCAUUAAGUAUCCCACCUGGGAAGUACGAUCGCAAGAUUGAAACUCAAAAUAGAAGUUAGUACGGACGUGAGACGUACGACCGACGGACGACGACGAGGGGAGGGUUAGGGAG